GACGAACGCUGGCGGCGUGCUUAACACAUGCAAGUCGAACGGAAAGGCCCUGCUUGCAGGGUACUCGAGUGGCGAACGGGUGAGUAACACGUGGGUGAUCUGCCCUGCACUUCGGGAUAAGCCUGGGAAACUGGGUCUAAUACCGGAUAGGAGCCAUUUUUAGUGUGAUGGUUGGAAAGUUUUUUCGGUGUAGGAUGAGCUCGCGGCCUAUCAGCUUGUUGGUGGGGUAAUGGCCUACCAAGGCGGCGACGGGUAGCCGGCCUGAGAGGGUGGACGGCCACAGUGGGACUGAGAGACGGCCCAGACUCCUACGGGAGGCAGCAGUGGGGAAUAUUGCACAAUGGGCGCAAGCCUGAUGCAGCGACGCCGCGGGGGGGAUGACGGCCUUCGGGUUGUAAACGCCUUUCGCUAGGGACGAAGCUUUUUGUGACGGUACCUAGAUAAGAAGCACCGGCUAACUACGUG
This 465-nucleotide ribosomal RNA is filed under the name uncultured bacterium. RNAcentral describes it as "partial 16S ribosomal RNA". It matches the Rfam family "Bacterial small subunit ribosomal RNA", at positions 28 to 507 of the family's 1533-position model. The record is from RNAcentral.